Molecule: unclassified non-coding RNA, 200 nt
Filed under: Cystolepiota sp.
Lineage: Eukaryota; Fungi; Basidiomycota; Agaricomycetes; Agaricales; Agaricaceae
Description: partial internal transcribed spacer 2
Source: RNAcentral
UUAAGUUCAGCGGGUAGUCCUACCUGAUUUGAGGUCAAACAUUCAAAAAGUUGUCCACAUGAUGGGACCAUUAGAAGCUGAACAGACAGAGAGCGUUCCAGGUCUUUGGCGUAGAUAAUUAUCACACCAGUGACAGAUCGCAAACCGUUCCGCUAAUGCAUUUCAGGAGAGCUGACUUUACGCCAGCAUAACCCCCACAA